UUAUGAUUCAAAAGGGUAUCAACAAUGAGUUCAUUGCAUGAGUCCUACAUAGGAAAUUUACCUAUGCAUUCUAUAUGAUCUAGACUCAAACCUAAAGAUGCAAAUGUUUUUUUUUUUUUUUUUUUUUAUGGAUUUUCUAUGCAAAUGGAUAUGCAAUGCUUAUGACAAGUAAACAAAACAGAAAACAUGUGAGAUAAGUAGACUCUCCCCCCACACUUACUUCACACAGUCUCUUGUGUGAGAGCAAGGUGAAAGAAGAGGUCUAGAGGAAACAAACAAGAAGACUAUGUAUUUACAAUGGUUGUAGAGACACUUAGCUUGGAGUUGCUAGAUGGAGUUGAAUAAUUUUAACACUUGUAGCUUUGCUGGAUGGCCAUCUUUCUCUUUGAUUAAGAGGAGAAUCACCUAAAAAUUUUAAACACACUUAUUAAACACACAAAAGAAAAACCACACAAGUAAAACAAUAAUAUAUAUAUAGGGAUAGACAUGGGACUUCCUCCCAAGUGAGCUUGUUUUAAGUCUCUAGCUUGACUUUGUGUGCCUGCUAAUCAUAAGUAUCAAAAGGCUGAGCCAAUGCACCUUUGGUCUUUCUCCUACAAGAACAAGAAACCAAGUGUGCAAAGAAACACACUACUGUCAAUAGAAAAUAGACAGAUUUUUCCUCAAAGAGCUUCACUAAAGAUAUGAUAUGAGUUAUGAGUGACACGUUAGCAAAUUUUCUUUUUUUUUAAUUAAUUCUGUGACAUUCCGAUAUAGUUUUCUAAAAAAAAC
Molecule: long non-coding RNA, 771 nt
Filed under: Brassica napus (rape)
Lineage: Eukaryota; Viridiplantae; Streptophyta; Magnoliopsida; Brassicales; Brassicaceae
Description: long non-coding RNA (BNAP_LNC023780)
Source: RNAcentral